Long non-coding RNA from Herpailurus yagouaroundi (jaguarundi), 579 nucleotides. RefSeq lists it as uncharacterized. NCBI's taxonomy places the organism in Eukaryota, Metazoa, Chordata, Mammalia, Carnivora, Felidae. The transcript has 2 exons. The record is from RefSeq and is a predicted model, not a curated record.
GACCAGCCACUGCCGGAGCACCUGCUGUCCUCGGAUGCAGUUUCAAUUCCCCCUGGUUCUAGCAGGACCUGGGGCACAUGCAGGGCGGACAAAACACUUUUUCCUGCACCUCCCUCCGCACCAGUUACAAGCCCCGUGCCUGCCAGUGGUUCAGGCCCAGAGCUCUUCGUCAUCCCCAGCUGGGCAGGGGCCCAGGCGAGGCUCAGUGACAGAUGCCUGCCUGCUGCUGGGAAGGACAUGGCUUCCUCAGUGCCCCCAGGAUGUCAGCUCGACUCUCUGGAUCUUCGCUUUGCCCCAAGGGCGUGGUGGAAAUGUGUCUAGUCCUGAGAGGGGGAGCCCAGCCCCGAGAGGGGUGCUCUGAUCCCAGGAAGCAGUGUCUGGCCCAGAGUAAAGGAUCCAGAAGCAUCCAGGGCCACACCCUGCACGUCGCUUGGCUGAGGGCCCCUCCUUGUGUCCUCAGAGCUGGAGGGGUGGUGUCCUCUCUCUCCUGUAAGGAUGUUGUGAUGACAUUUAGGGCUUUGAUAAUAAUCCAGGAGAGCCUCCCCAUCUUGUGACCUUAACUAAAUUCAUCUGCACAGA